Molecule: long non-coding RNA, 771 nt
Organism: Ruditapes philippinarum (Manila clam)
Lineage: Eukaryota; Metazoa; Mollusca; Bivalvia; Venerida; Veneridae
Exons: 3
Source: RefSeq, a predicted model, not a curated record
GCUUUUUGCCUCACGACUUUUUGAAACAGUUUGUGGGCAGUUGUCCAAUUUUGGGAUACUGAUGGACAUUGUCUAUGCAUAACGUUGUACAGACGUAUUAUUAUUCACCGUCGUGUAUUGUAGAGCGUUAUUUGACAGUUUGUUGACGGAUACACUGUGUAUACGUACAAUAACGUCGUUAUUUAACGUCUUACUUUAUAACGUUAGCAUACACGUUAAGAGUGGAUUUUUAUUUACUCUACAAGCAUUAUUACUGUUUUGAAGUAACGAUCCUGUUUUUAUAGAAUAUUCGAUUGUUUACUUGGUGGAUUAAUUGGAUUGUACGUGCUCCUAUACAGACAGUGAUUUGUUAACUUGGAUUUUAUACAACUAUAUAUAGUUUAUAGCGGGAGUUUUAAACAGAUAAGUGUGGCAUGAAGGCUCGAAAGGUGACAUUUAGUUUCACUUGUUGUUUUAGCAUAUUAUUGCUCCUUCUGCUCUACAUCGACAUUCGGAUACAACCCCAGUCUACUAACACACAUCUACAUCUAUAUUACAGUUUUGUCGCCAAUACAAGCUCCUCUACAGAUUAUGCAGAUACUGUGGGACGAAGUAUAAAAUUCAUCAGCAUCUUUAACCAAACUUCUGCCGAGCACGUGCGUUCAGCAUUGCUUAAAAUAAGCAAUGACACAGAGCAUGCGCAAGACACGCCUACAGCGUCACGUGCUCACAUUAUUGCUAUAGUUUCGUACAUGCGCAGUGGGUCUACAUUAACAGCAGACAUAAUGCAGC